Ahaetulla prasina is the source of this 3860-nucleotide RNA transcript. It is a transcript of the gene named Bardet-Biedl syndrome 9, with no coding region annotated. The transcript is spliced from 24 exons. Lineage: Eukaryota; Metazoa; Chordata; Lepidosauria; Squamata; Colubridae. The record is from RefSeq and is a predicted model, not a curated record.
CAAAAAUGGCGGCUGGUGGAGUGGCUUUGUCAGUUUCUGUGGCUUUUCAUCUCGUCGUGUAAUUAAGUUCAAGUUUCUAUUUAGUAGAUACGAUUUUAUGUUCUCCUUGGCAGUUUCUGUUUACUUAAUUUCUCAUAGAUUUUUCGUGUAAUGCUGGCAUAAAAGGUUUGCAUUUAAAAGAUUAUCGUUCUCUCUGAACGAUAAUCUGUAUAUACUGCUUCAGCCCGUGGAAUGCUCCUUCUCUGUAACUAAAUUCGUGAAAGAAAGCACAGGUGAGGGGGGAAAAAGGAAGAUUUGUCAGUUACAGAAAAAGUCAGGGCUGACAGAGAAUGUCUCUUUUUAAAGCUCGGGAGUGGUGGUCUACAAUAGUGGGCAAUAAAGAAGAAUUUGAUCAAGGAUGUUUAUGUGUUGCAAAUGUUGACAAUAGCAGUAGUGCACAAGAUAAAAUUAUUGUAGGCAGUUAUAUGGGAUUUCUUAGAAUCUAUAAUCCCCAUCCUAUAAAACCUGGACAUACUAUGCAAGCUGAAGAUAUGCUCUUGGAAGUACAGUUAUGUGAGCCAAUAUUACAAGUGGAAGUAGGAAAAUUUGUUUCUGGCACAGAAUUGCUUCAUCUGGCUGUAUUGCAUUGCAAAAAAUUAUGUAUCUACGCUGUCUCAGGAAGCUUAGGAAAUACAGAACAUGGCAACCAAUACCAAUUAAAACGUAUAUAUGAACACAAUCUUUACCGAACAGCAUAUAACAUGACACAUGGACCAUUUGGAGGAAUAAAAGGUCAGGAUUUGAUCUGUGUACAGUCUGUGGAUGGAAUGCUUAUGUUGUUUGAACAAGAAAGCUAUUCGUUUGGACGUUUCCUUCCUGGCUUUCUUCUUCCUGGUCCACUGACAUAUAGUUCUAGAACAGAUUCAUUCAUUACCAUCUCUUCCUGUCGACGAGUUGAGAGCUACAGGUAUCAAGUACUUGCAUUAGCAAAAGAUGCUGAAACACAGGAAACUGAGCAACAAAAAAUUGGAUCUGGAAAAAAACUUGUGGUGGACUGGAUUUCAAACAUUGGGGAGCAAGCCCUGGACAUAUGUGUUGUUUCAUUUAAUCAACUUGUUUCCAGCAUAUUUGUUCUUGGGGAAAGAAAUUUUUUUUGCUUUAAGGAUAAUGGACAAAUUCGGUUCAUUAAAAAGCUUGACCACAGCCCAAGUUGCUUUCUUCCAUACUCAGUGUCUGGGACUGCUGUAAACACACUGAUUGGAAAUCACAACAGCAUCCUACAUAUUUAUCAAGACGUGACUCUAAAAUGGGCAACUCAGCUUCCACAUAUUCCUGUGGCAGCACAACUGGGGAAAUUACUAAAUUUGAAAGGUGUGAUUGUUACACUGAGUGAUAGUGGCUAUCUACAAUGUUCUUACCUUGGUACUGAUCCUUCUUUAUUUCAAGCUCCUAAAGUUGAAGCUAGGAAUAUUAAUUAUGCAGAAUAUGAUGCAGAAAUGAAUAAACUCCAGAAAAUCAUUAAAGACGCCAGGAAAAUUAAAGAUAUCCUGCCUAAGUCUGAAAAAAGUGAAGAUUUUGUACUUGGUGUGACGGUCUUGCCUGAUCUGGAUUCAGUUUCUCAAUCUGUUGACACUGAAAUUAAAGCAGAGGUGAUUCCUUCUGUGAAGAUAAAGAUUGAAGUUGAAAGCAGACUACCAACACUUACAAAAUUAACAGUAUGUGUUCCAUGUCCUUUAUCAUUGACUCAAAACUCCUUCAUUUUAGAAUUAGAAUCUUCUGUAUCUAAAACAGUUGUACUUUCUGCUUUUCGAAAAGGGAACUACCUACCAGCAGAUUUGGAAGGUAGCGUUAUAGCAUCAUACAAUACAGCCACAGGUGCACAAAGGAUUGCCCAAUGUAAAUUCCGAUUACCUUUGCGGCUGGUUUGUUUUCCUGCUCAGCCUUCAAAAACAGCAAGCCAGAAGUUAACUAUUGAUACCAACAAACCUACUGUCAGCCUUAUUACUCUUUUUUCAGACUUUGCUGAUCAAAUUGAUGAAGAUCAACUUAAUGUUUUAGGAUUUCAGUUACUAGCUGGCUCCAGAAUCACUUUACUUGCUUCGAAAACUUCUCAGCGUUACAGAAUUCAAAGUGAUCAAUUAGAAGACAUUUGGCUGAUUACAAAAGAACUCACUCUUCGUCUUGAGCAACACUUCAGGAGGCAAAAUUGCAAAGAUUUUAUAUGUACUUUUUCUGGUCCAAUCCCUUUACAAGACUAUUUUGGCAUAAUUGAUCACCAUUUUGAGCUGCGUUUGAAUGCUGUGAAAUAUGAGCAACUAUUAGCUGAAAGAGCCAUACAAUUUAGAGCUAUUGAACGGCGUUUACUGACAAGAUUUAAAGAUAAAACUCCAGCUGCACUUCAACAUCUGGACACCUUAUUAGAAGGAACGUACAGACAGGUAAUAGCUCUAGCAGAUGCAGCUGAAGAAAACCAAGCCAUUAUGUUCCAGGCAUUCACAAAAUUAAAAAGUGCCACCCAGCUGGUAAUCUUGCUGAUUAGUCUAUGGCAAAAACUGAAUGUUGAUCAAAUUGCUAUUCUGGAAGCUACAUUUCUGCCAUUAACACAGAAUAAUCAAGACUUGGGUUGGGAAGAAAGUGUGGAUGCUUCUAUCUCUCAUUUGUUAAAAACAUGUCUGUCCAAGAGUUCUAAAGACCAUGCUUUCACACUUUUUAAUCAAUUAUGUAUCCCCAAGGAUACUAAUAGAUUGAAGAAACACAUAACUUUACUCUUCGAUAGACUGGCAAAAGGUGGUCGUAUGUCUCUAAACACAGACCUAGACUGUUACCAACCUAUGCUUUUGUCAGGUGGCUGUGAUACUAUCCCAGAGUCUGAUUUUGAGGAAAGACCAGCCACACAAAACUCAACAAUGUUUGUCAACUACAGAAAUCUGGAUAAGCAAGAUAACAAACCUGAGGCAGUGGUGAAAUCUAAAUUUCUUUCCGACCGAUUCUGUGGGCAUGGCCUGGAUUAUCCUCUGAAGCUGCAUCUAGUGCCAGCCACCAAGGAGGAGGAGGGUGCACAGCUCUGUGAAUUGCAUCAAAGAGGAAAAUGCCGGAAAACAUGAUGCAUGGAGGCAAUGCUCUUGUGAAGUGGGCGCUUCUGCAUGAGAGGCAUAAGGCAAGAUUUGCCACAGGAUGAAUUACAGGAAGCAGAAACACCAUGAAAAGUGCAAGAAGACCCUCAGGAGAAUUUAAAAAAUCUGCAAUUACAAUCUGAAAGUACUAUUUUACUUUCCAGUACUGAAUACAGUAAGCUUCGAGAAGUAGGCCCCUCUAUUAAAGAAAAAUACUUCCCUUUUUAGUUACUGAUUUCAGAGAUAUUUUCUCAAGUGACAUUGUAGAAGAAAGUAUUCUGUUACUGGUAAUGCAAUUAUAAACACUAAAUAGAAAUCUGUGUUGAUCAAAGACUUAAUAUAUUGAAAUAUUAACAUAUUGAACUAUGAAAGUAUCCUGCGCUUUAAAUUUCCUUUUUUCCUUUCUCAUUUGUAACAUAUUGGUAGAUUUUGAUAAAGAAUUACAAUUUUGUCAUUAGAUGAUCAUUAUGUUUACUAUUUUAAAUACACAAUAAUUCAUUAGAUUUAUUUGGAUUUCACUUUUGAUUUAUAAAUUUGAUGUUGAGUCAUAUUGUGUAAGUUUAUGUUUUUGUGCAGAAGAGGUUUGUGAAGUCUCAGUCCUUGGUCUAUUCUGGAUGUUUUAUUCACUUUACCUAAAGUCUUUUUAUCUAAAAAUAAAACUAUUUUUAAUGAGAAUUCCUUUGUGCUCAGCUCUGAAGUCUUGUUGAAUAAUUUCAAAGAGAGGAUUUUAUCUUAGCUAUGUAAACUAAUCACACAAUUUAAUAAAUA